RNAcentral lists this ribosomal RNA (442 nucleotides) under uncultured soil bacterium. RNAcentral describes it as "bacterial SSU rRNA". It matches the Rfam family "Bacterial small subunit ribosomal RNA", at positions 26 to 518 of the family's 1533-position model. The record is from RNAcentral.
AGAACGAACGCUGGCGGCAUGCCUAACACAUGCAAGUCGAACGAGACCUUCGGGUCUAGUGGCGCACGGGUGCGUAACGCGUGGGAAUCUGCCCUUGGGUUCGGGAUAACAGUUGGAAACGACUGCUAAUACCGGAUGAUAUCUUCGGAUCAAAGAUUUAUCGCCCAGGGAUGAGCCCGCGUAGGAUUAGCUUGUUGGUGAGGUAAGAGCUCACCAAGGCGACGAUCCUUAGCUGGUCUGAGAGGAUGAUCAGCCACACUGGGACUGAGACACGGCCCAGACUCCUACGGGAGGCAGCAGUGGGGAAUAUUGGACAAGUGGGCGAAAGCCUGAUCCAGCAAUGCCGCGUGAGUGAUGAAGGCCCUAGGGUUGUAAAGCUCUUUACCGGAUGAUAAUGACAGUACCGGAGAAGUAGCCCGGCUAACUCCGUGCCAGCAGCCGC